CCUACGGGAGACAGCAGUGAGGAAUAUUGGUCAAUGGACGAGAGUCUGAACCAGCCAAGUAGCGUGAAGGAUGACUGCCCUAUGGGUUGUAAACUUCUUUUAUAUGGGAAUAAAAUGUUCCACGUGUGGGAUUUUGUAUGUACCAUAUGAAUAAGGAUCGGCUAACUCCGUGCCAGCAGCCGCGGUAAUACUGAGGAUCCGAGAGUUAUCCGGAUUUAUUGGGUUUAAAGGGAGCGUAGGUGGAUUGUUAAGUUAGUUGUGAAAGUUUGCGGACCAACCGUAAAAUUGCAGUUGAAACUGGCAGUCUUGAGUACAGUAGAGGUGGGCGGAAUCCGUGGCGUAGCGGUGAAAUGCUUAGAUAUCACGAAGAACUCCGAUUGCGAAGGCAGUUCACUGGACUGCAACUGACACUGAGGCUCGAAAGUGUGGGUAUCAAACAGGAUUAGAUACCCCAGUAGUC
This 460-nucleotide ribosomal RNA is filed under the name uncultured bacterium. Its description in RNAcentral is "partial 16S ribosomal RNA". It matches the Rfam family "Bacterial small subunit ribosomal RNA", at positions 338 to 795 of the family's 1533-position model. The record is from RNAcentral.